This 459-nucleotide ribosomal RNA is filed under the name uncultured bacterium. RNAcentral's name for it is "partial 16S ribosomal RNA". It matches the Rfam family "Bacterial small subunit ribosomal RNA", at positions 338 to 795 of the family's 1533-position model. The record is from RNAcentral.
CCUACGGGCGGCAGCAGUGAGGAAUAUUGGUCAAUGGUCGGGAGCCUGAACCAGCCAAGCCGCGUGAGGGAAGACGGUCCUAUGGAUUGUAAACCUCUUUUGUCGGGGAGCAAAAGACGCCACGCGUGGCGUUCCGAGAGUACCCGAAGAAAAAGCAUCGGCUCACUCCGUGCCAGCAGCCGCGGUAAUACGGGGGAUGCGAGCGUUAUCCGGAUUUAUUGGGUUUAAAGGGUGCGCAGGCGGAAGAUCAAGUCAGCGGUAAAAGUGAGAGGCUCAACCUCUUCGAGCCGUUGAAACUGGUAUUCUUGAGUGAGUGAGAAGUAUGCGGAAUGCGUGGUGUAGCGGUGAAAUGCAUAGAUAUCACGCAGAACUCCGAUUGCGAAGGCAGCAUACCGGCGCUAAACUGACGCUGAUGCACGAAAGUGUGGGUAUCGAACAGGAUUAGAUACCCGAGUAGUC